UGAGGAAAGUUGGACUACUGGACAACUGAAAUAAUCCUCAGGCUGCGAGGUCUUAUUUGGUGAAUUGCUUGAGACUUCAAACUGCUUGUGGAACCCACGUAAGGUUGUAAGCGCAGUGAGCUGCUCCCUGAAUUAUUUUGCCAUCAUUAGGUGUUUCUUCUUAUGCCCUUUUAAGGUUUGGUUGGCGCAAAAAAUUACACAAUCGCUUG
This 209-nucleotide long non-coding RNA is filed under the name Malus domestica (apple). RNAcentral describes it as "long non-coding RNA (MDOM_LNC000835)". Lineage: Eukaryota; Viridiplantae; Streptophyta; Magnoliopsida; Rosales; Rosaceae. The record is from RNAcentral.